This 362-nucleotide ribosomal RNA is filed under the name uncultured bacterium. RNAcentral's name for it is "bacterial SSU rRNA". It matches the Rfam family "Bacterial small subunit ribosomal RNA", at positions 29 to 418 of the family's 1533-position model. The record is from RNAcentral.
AACGAACGCUGGCGGCAGGCUUAACACAUGCAAGUCGAACGGGCGUAGCAAUACGUCAGUGGCGGACGGGUGAGUAACACGUGGGAAUAUGCCUUUCGGUUCGGAACAACUCGGGGAAACCCGUGCUAAUUCCGGAUACGCCCUUACGGGAAGGAUUUAUCGCCGAAGAUUAGCCCGCGUUGGAUUAGCUAGUUGGUGAGGUAAAGGCUCACCAAGGCGACGAUCCAUAGCUGGUUUGAGAGAACGACCAGCCACACUGGGACUGAGACACGGCCCAGACUCCUACGGGAGGCAGCAGUGGGGAAUCUUGGACAAUGGGCGCAAGCCUGAUCCAGCCAUGCCGCGUGAGUGAUGAAGGCCUU